UACGUGGAAGUUUCGCUGCUAUCGAGAGGAUCAAUUCCAUUUUAAAUGCAGUGGACAUAGAUGAGGCUCUUGCCUACGGGCUAGAAAGAGAUAUACAUACAAAGAAAGUCCAAGAUGAAAACCUUAGAUUGUUCUUGUCUUCUGGUCCUAACGUGAAUAUCCGUCACCUCGAUAAGUACUACAUGUCAGAUCUGAAAUCAACGAACAAUCUACGUACCUUGACUUGGGCAGGAGAUGUCUGUCUUGACGGUAAAAUCAGACCAAGAAAACUCUCCUCAUGUUGUUAUACUUCAAGAUUCCCCAAACCUCCCUUGAACUGAGGUUGUACUGCUUUCUAAGCUGAGGGUUUUCCAUUUUCUAAUUUUGUCUAGUGUAGAUUUGCAUUUUGCUUAUCCCCUACGACCCGAUGUGAAAGUUCUUGAUGGGUUCAAUUUGACGUUGAGAGCUGGGACCGUAACUGCUCUUGUUGGCUCUAGUGGUGCGGGAAAAAGUACUAUUGUACAGUUAUUGGCACGCUUCUAUGAGGUUAAUCGACUCCCCCUCUUCCCAUUUGAAGUCUGUAAAGACUAAUUCUGAAGCCGCUUUUACAUCAUGCUGAUGGGUUUGAGUUUCCGAUUUUCGCCAGCCCACACAAGGACGUAUUACUGUGGCUGGAGAGGAUGUGAGGAUGUUUGACAAGAGUGAAUGGGCUAAGGUUAUCUCAAUUGUGAAUCAGGUGUGUACCCGUAACAUGUAUUGUGUCAGACUUGGUCGGAUUAUAAUCUUACCUGUGUGACCUCAGGAACCCGUUCUCUUUUCUCUUUCUGUGGCCGAGAAUAUUGCAUAUGGUCUCCCUAAUGAUCUUGUGUCCAAGGACGACAUCAUUAAGGCAGCCAAAGCUGCCAACGCUCAUGAAUUCAUAAUCUCACUUCCCCAGGUUCGGAUUCCACGUGGUGGCUCCGGUGCGCCGCUCGGGAUUCCGCUGAAGGCGAAAUCGGUCGGAUUGGCUCGCGCUUACGUCACCGGAGCGCCGCCGAUCGUGGGAGAAGAGGACCCUAAGAUCGAUGGAUCGAAAUCGGAGCCCGAGAAGGAGGAAUCGAAGGAUUUGAUCAAGUGGGGGCUUGUGUGGAGCUUGAUGAGCAAGCACAAGCUCAGGCUCGUUGUUUGCUUAUUGACUCUGGUUGGAUGCAGCACUUGCACUCUCUCGAUGCCUGUGUUUUCUGGUAAUCGAGUUCUUGGAUUCAGCCUCACGCUCCUCUAUUGUGAUUGUUUAUUUUAAUGAUUAGGAGGUUUUGGGUUACAAUCUCUAGACGAAGUCCAAACCAGUUCUCCUGGAGAACAGAUCGGUUCCGGUGGAAUUGAACCUAUGACCAUUUAGAUCCAUAAUAGGAAAUUAAAAAAAAUUAGUUAGAGCAUUUUCAACCAUCUAGUUCUCUUAAAAUAUAGAGAUUGCUAUUUUUCCUUCUAUUUGUAGAGGAAGAUAUAACAUUCCUCUAUAUUUAGAGUUUGCUAUUUAAAAAAAAAAAAAUACAUUGGAAGACAUCAAAUGUCUGUUAUAGAGUUCAUCUAUUUCAGAGAAAAAAAUAGCAAUAUACGUUGAAGAUAAUUUUAGUAGGCAACUUCUCGUUGGUUUAGUUAUUGUGAUUGUAGUAUGCUAAUGCGGGAUUGGCUUAAUUUUUCUAUUUUUCAUUAGGGAAAUGAUUGCCAUCUACAAGAAUUAUAAGCUACAUAACCACACAUGAAGAUGUUAAUAAUAUAACAUAUAAUAAUUCAUGGAUGUUUUGUUUGUGUAGUUUCAAAUAUAUUAUUUUUGUUCAUGUGUGUUAUGUAUUUCGUUCGUGUAGCUGAGAUUUUAUUUUAUUUGUUGAUUGAGUUAAACAUGUGUUGAUUCUUUGUGACAAAUAAUGGCAAGUGUUAUGUUUGGAGCUGUAAAGGUAGAUUCUUUGAAGUGUUGAUUGGCGUGCGGCCGGAUCCUCUGUGGCAGCUUCUGAGCAAAAUCGCUGUUCUGUAUUCUUUGGAACCCAUCUUUACUAUUGUUUUUGUAACCAACAUGAAUGCUAUCUGGGAAAGCGUUAUGGCAACGUUACGAGCUCAGAUUUUCAGAAGGGUUUUGAUCCAGAAGGUAUGGUUUGUUUCCUGUGAUCAUAAUUUGCCAGAUGUUUAUCACCUGAAUGAAUAUCAUUGUGAUAGCUGCUUUCUUUUUGUAUUUGCAGGCAGAGUUUUUCGACAAAUAUAAGGUUUGUCUUUUUUUUCUUCUUUGUUUUUUUGUCUCUUGGUCUGUUCAGGUUUGGGACUUUUGGGCUGAGUUCAUUAAUUGUAGGUAGGAGAGUUGACGGGGCUGCUUACGUCUGAUCUUGGCGCUCUGAAUAGCAUUGUGAAUGAUAACAUCUCAAGAGACCGUGGAUUUAGGGCAUUUUCUGAGGCAAGCCAUUUCUUUACUAUGCAAAUGUGAGAUUGGUGUUUGUGCUUCCACUUUGCAUAAUGAAUACAGACUUAAUCUUAGCCUGGUGUUGUGUUGGUCGUAUUUUUGGAGUUCUAUACAUGACAAAGAGUAUCCGGUUGCAUCUCAAGAAUGCCCAGCUCUUAUGGCUUAUCUUUUGUAUAUUUGUAGGUUUUUGGAACAAUCUGCAUUUUGUUCACCCUAUCUCCUCAACUUGCACCUGUGCUUGGUCUAUUGAUGCUCGCUGUAUCAGUUUUAGUUGGUAAAUUCUCAGGCCUUGCUCAUUUUUCCUGAACUUAUUGUUUGGUACACCUUGGUCAUCUCUGCUUACCUUUAAAUCUGCUCAUUUGGUCAAAAGCUGUGUACAAAAGAUCGACGGUUCCUGUUUAUAAAGCACAUGGAUUAGCCCAAGCGACAAUGUCUGAUUGUGUAUCAGAAACGUUCUCUGCAAUUCGGACUGUAAGUUCUUGACUUCAUCGUGUUUGUAUUUUUUGGGCAGGUUGACUAUAUAAACUUUUGAUUUUCCUUUUAACGAAGCAAGUAUUUUUAUCUCUUCAUAGGUAAGAUCGUUCAGUGGUGAAAAACGUCAGAUGUCUCUUUUUGGUAGUCAGGUUACAUUUCAGACUUCUUACUAGCUAAAAGUCAAUUGUCUAAACAAUUCUUGUUUUUUUCCUAUCUGUUCCAUGAUCUUUUAUUCUAACCAUCUGUUUGAUUUACAGAUUCUUGCUUUCCAGCGUAGCGGCUUAAAGCUUGGUACUUUCAAAUCUAUAAAUGAAUCUAUAACAAGAGUUGCUGUUUAUAUUUCUUUGUUGGCUCUAUACGCUCUUGGGGGAAGCAAGGUCAAGACGGUAAGAUAUGCCUGCCUGUAAGACUUUUUAAUUGCCAUAAUGGUUGAAAUAAAUCUUCUUGCACAUUAAGGCAAAAAGAGAAUGGUGAUUUGUUUAAUUUCUCUUUAUAGAAGAUCGUGUUAUUCUUCAUUCAUAUAUUCUGGAAUAAAUGACUGGAUGAGAACAAAAUUACUACCGUCAGAAAUUUAAUAGAUCAUCAAAACUAAACAAUCAGAUUUCUUUUAUCUCCCCUUUUGUGUUGUUUCUUAUGCUGUUACAUUUUCGCUCUUUUGCACUUUAUGUUUCUUGGUUCUUAUUCUUUGAGCUUUUUCCUACGCAGGGUGAGCUUGCUGUUGGAACAGUUGUUUCCUUCAUUGGAUACACAUUUACUCUAACGUUUGCUGUUAGUACCUCUAUCCACAUGCAUUUACUGUUAUCCAUAUGCUAUACAUGUAAUUUGGUUUUACCAUAAUCGUUUUUUGUUUUUGCCAGGUCCAAGGGCUUGUAAACACGUUUGGAGAUCUACGUGGAAGUUUCGCUGCUAUCGAGAGGAUCAAUUCCAUUUUAAAUGCAGUGGACAUAGAUGAGGCUCUUGCCUACGGGCUAGAAAGAGAUAUACAUACAAAGAAAGUCCAAGAUGAAAACCUUAGAUUGUUCUUGUCUUCUGGUCCUAACGUGAAUAUCCGUCACCUCGAUAAGUACUACAUGUCAGAUCUGAAAUCAACGAACAAUCUACGUACCUUGACUUGGGCAGGAGAUGUCUGUCUUGACGGUAAAAUCAGACCAAGAAAACUCUCCUCAUGUUGUUA
This 4055-nucleotide long non-coding RNA is filed under the name Brassica napus (rape). Its description in RNAcentral is "long non-coding RNA (BNAP_LNC006998)". Lineage: Eukaryota; Viridiplantae; Streptophyta; Magnoliopsida; Brassicales; Brassicaceae. The record is from RNAcentral.